UCCCAGGUGGCUCAGUGGUAGAGAAUCUGCCUGCCAAGCAGGAGACACAGGUUCAGUCCCUGGGCUGGGAA
This 71-nucleotide transfer RNA is filed under the name Ovis aries (sheep). It matches the Rfam family "tRNA". Rfam says of the family: Transfer RNA (tRNA) molecules are approximately 80 nucleotides in length. Their secondary structure includes four short double-helical elements and three loops (D, anti-codon, and T loops). Lineage: Eukaryota; Metazoa; Chordata; Mammalia; Artiodactyla; Bovidae. The record is from Rfam by way of RNAcentral.